AUUCCAGGUGGAUUUUAGAGCAGGAUGUUCCCAGCUCCAAAUUCCAGGUGGAUUUUAGAGCAGGAUGUUCCCAGCUCCAAAUUCCAGGUGGAUGUUGGACAGGAUUUCAGCCCAGCUCCACAAUCAGGUGGAUGUUGGACAGGAUUUCAGCCCAGCUCCAAAUUCCAGGUUUAUUUUAGAGCAGGAUGUUCCCAGCUCCACAAUCAGGUGGAUGUUGGACAGGAUUUCAGCCCAGCUUCAAAUUCCAGGUGGAUGUUGGACAGGAUUUCAGCCCAGCUCCAAAUUCCAGGUUUAUUUUAGAGCAGGAUGUUCCCAGCUCCAAAUUCCAGGUGGAUGUUGGAGCAGGAUGGUCCCAGCUCCACAAUCAGGUGGAUUUUAGAGCAGGAUGUUCCCAGCUCCAAAUUCCAGGUGGAUGUUGGACAGGAUUCCA
RNAcentral lists this long non-coding RNA (430 nucleotides) under Zonotrichia albicollis (white-throated sparrow). RNAcentral describes it as "lncRNA (ENSZALG00000009218.1)". Lineage: Eukaryota; Metazoa; Chordata; Aves; Passeriformes; Passerellidae. The record is from RNAcentral.